RNAcentral lists this ribosomal RNA (306 nucleotides) under uncultured Haplosporidia. Its description in RNAcentral is "bacterial SSU rRNA". It matches the Rfam family "Eukaryotic small subunit ribosomal RNA", at positions 1275 to 1593 of the family's 1831-position model. The record is from RNAcentral. Lineage: Eukaryota; Endomyxa; Ascetosporea; Haplosporida.
UGGUGGUGCAUGGCCGUUCUUAGUAGGUGGAGUGAUUUGUCUGGUUAAUUCCGAUAACGUACGAGACCUCAGCCAUCUAAAUAGCUGUAGCUAACUUGUUAGCGAAGACUAACGUCAUAACAGCUUCUUAGAGGGACAAUCUGUGUUUAACAGAAGGAGGAUUGAGGCAAUAACAGGUCAGUGAUGCCCUUAGAUGAUCUGGGCUGCACGCGCGCUACAAUGGUUCACUCAAAAAGUUUAACCUAUCCUGAAAAGGCUGGGUAAUCUUUAAAAUGAAUCUAAGUUGGGAUAGAUGAUUGCAAUUGU